Diceros bicornis minor is the source of this 4182-nucleotide long non-coding RNA. RefSeq lists it as uncharacterized. The record is from RefSeq and is a predicted model, not a curated record. Lineage: Eukaryota; Metazoa; Chordata; Mammalia; Perissodactyla; Rhinocerotidae. The transcript has 3 exons.
UUGCCUGAGGGCUUGUUGUUGGGUGGGGCCAGUCCCUAGGGGGGGCUGCCUGCCCUGGCUGAGCGGGAUUAAAUCGGUGCUCUAAUGGGUGGAGCAGGGAGAACUCCAAUGGCUCUGCCAGUGUCUGUGUCAGCACGCCCACACCAGGCCAUAACAAUGGCCGCCGCCAAUGUCCCAGUCCCCGGAGAGGUCUCACCUCUCACCGAGAUGCACUCAGAACCUAUUAGCAAAGAAGCAUCACAUGCCAGAGGAUGUGCCGGUUGAAAUGUAUGCUUUGUAUUUUGAUCACUUAAGAGCACUUCUUCUCUCCAACUGUUUGAUGGUGUUUGUUGAACCUGAAAAAAUAGUGAGUGGUCCUUAUGCUUAUUAUUUCCCCCAAGGCUAGUUUUCAAAAAACGGGCCCUUCCAAAGAAGACCAGUCUCCAAAAAACCAUUAAACUGAGGACCGAGGUGUUAAAUAGCAGGCGAAGGUGCUAGAAGGGGCUGCUGCUUUGAAAGUAGUGGUGUACCAGGAGGCCCCAGAGAAGAGUGGGGAAGGGGGUCAUGUGGGAGGAAACGCUGUGCACCUGCCUUAGCGCUGAGUGUGCCCUGCUUUCUCAGGUGUGCUUUCCAACGCCUUCCUGCCCAGAAAACCAACUACUACCUUCUAGAACUGAUGGCAGCAAAUGGCGCGCAGUUUGAGUUGGUGGUAAAUAAGGGAGGGAACUCAUAGAGUGAGGCCUCAGCCUUUGUUCCCAAAUUCUCUGCCACAUCACACAGUUGGUCACAGAAGGAUUCCAGAGCGUGCCUUGCCCUUUUGUGCCAGCGAGAAUUAAAGGCGUAGAAUGAUGGAGGUAAUGCAAAGAGCAGCUUCACAAUAUAAACACACAUGCGACCUAUCUUUCUAUUUUAAAAAUAGAACAAAGCAAUUGAAUUAUGUCAUAAAACCAGUUAAGUGGCUGAUAUUUAUGAAACACUUCUGGAUUUUUUUUUUAAGUAUUUGUUGUUUGACUGAAUUUAGCUAGACCGAGCUCCUCUGCCCACCACCAGAAAAAUCAAUGACAUAUAUAAAUGUAAAUGCAGUAUAAAACCAUCCCCCCAGAACCUCUCUUCUAGGAUAGAGAGGGGAAAAAAAAGAGAGUAAUGGCUUAGUGCAUUUGAAAAUAUAUUUAUGAUAAAUAGUUUUAAAUAAAACAUUUAAAUGUAUUAUAAUAUAUUUAAAUAUAUAAAUAUAAAUAUAAUUUAUAUGUUUAUAUGUUUAAAAAUGAAAAGCUGCCUUUUGUUUCUGGGCCUUGAAUUCCUUAUGUCGGGACUAUCAGCCCAGAUGUGGCAUCCUGCAAAAGCCCUGCCUCAUCCUGCUUAUCCCAGGACCUGGAGAACUGGAUCUUGAGAGGGAAAAAGCAAGCUGAAGAAUUUCUUACAAACUCCCUUCAAGUAAGAAUUUUACUUCUGUGAACUCCUCUCUUCUGUGUUCCCCCCACGCUGAGUUCGGCAGCCCUGCCCAGGAGAAAAAGGUUCUCAUCAGAGAGCCACAGGCAGCUUCUGGGUUCCAGAGACACGAGGAGCCCAAGAUGCACAUUUGCAGAGGCAGAAAAAUAAUUAGGUGUCCCCAGAUCAGCAGGAGCAUCUUCACAAGACAAUUUAAAGGACUCUUGCUCCUCCUGGACAGGAGGAGAGCUUUCUCGAAGUAUCCUCUUCAGCCUGGGCCCCAUGACAAACACAUGUGGAGCAGAUCUGAAUCCACCGCAGCCUGGAACAGAGCUACCCCAGCCAACCCACAGACCAUGAGAAAAAUCAGUGUUGUUUGCCAGCAAGUUUGGAGUGUUUGUUACACAGCAUUAUUGCAGCAGUAGUUGACUAAUAUAGGUCAAUUCACUUAACUUCUCUGGACCUUCAUUUCCAUCUGUAAAAUGAAGCCAUUGGAUUAUAAUCAAGGUGUUCAACCUGUUUUAUACCCCUCCACAGCUGAGGGCUCUGGCGUAUACCCAACAGUAACAGAGACAAAACAUACCAGAGUCAAAUAUUGGAAAGCACUAAAGAAAGAAAAGCAUUGGGAAACGUGCAUUCCAUUUAGGAACUGGGGACUUAUUAGGGCCUUGGAAAGAGUCAUUUCUGGUGGACAAUGGAGGAGAAGCCCCAUUGCAGGGCUGAAAGGUAAAUGGGAGGUGAGAAAGUGAGCAAGCAUGGGGUCCUCUCUCAAGCCACUUGGCUGGGAAGAGAAGGAUGGGUGGAGUAGUAGCUUGGGUGGAACAUACAGUCAAAGAACAGGUAGUUAGUUGGUUAGUUGGUUCUUUGUCUGACUGACUUGUAAUGAUUUAAGAUGGAGAGAAUUGAAUCUGCAAAGAAACAUUUACAGUGUCAUAGUUAAGGGAUAACAAAGGUAAGAGCUUGGGCAAGAGUGUACAGGAAACAAGAGGUCUGGUCUACCAGAGAGAGUCGAGUGAGACUCACCAGAUGUAUUUACCGAUUUGAUAUGCUCAUUUACACUUCAGGUUCUCAAACCUAACGGCAGGGCAAGCGUCAACCAGUGAAACAAAGAUCAAAUGAAACAUAGAAUUGUGCUAUUACUGUUCAAAUCAGAGGAUAAAUGUACAUUUGUCAUAGGAAAACCUGAAAAAUUUCUGGAAAGCAAAUUGCAUUUAAAGUUUGAUUUAUAUAGUACUUUUCAAGAAAUAGAUUUUCUUUUAUUUUUAAAUACCUACAACUAGGAGAUAGAUAGUUGCCAUCAACAGACUAGUAAUAAUAUAUGUUGAUGUAAGAUCUACCAUUCAUUAGUGCCCAUACUCCCUUUUAAGAAGACAGGAGUAGGAUGACUCUCUGCCCUUCACUGUUGGAAACUGCAGCUCAGAAAGGCAGCUAACAUCUCAGACCUUCUUCUUGAAAGAAAAAUCCACACUCAUCUUCUCAACUGCCUUUCUUCCCGAUCACUUCUAAACCUGCUGCGUUCUGGCUUCUGUCCCCACCACACCAUCAGUGACUAUCUCCAUCACCUCCUAAGACUUCUUAGUUGCUAAAUCCAAUAGACAUUUUUUAAACCUCAUCUUAUUUGUUCAAGGCCAAAACUACUUACUUUUGGUAUAAGCCCAAGAUCAUUCAAAGUGAGGCCACUUCUUUGAAGUAUGCCUCUCUUCACUUUUCACUUCAAUGCAUUUCUGAAGAUCAUGUAGGAGUUCCGAAUGGUGUUAAAAAAUAGAUAAAUAAAAUGAAAACAAAACCACGACCUAUCUACCUAGCAUCUAUGUGAUUAUUGUUGAGUACAGCCUGCAGUUAUGGGAUGAUAAUAGCUAAGACUUUUUGAACACUGACUGUGCCCAGCACUGCUCCAAGUCUACUCCAUGUUUUAGCUCAUUUAAUCCUCCCAACAUGCUAUCGGUAAGUACUGUUAUUAUCCCUAUUUUACAAAUGGGGGAACUGAGGCACAGAGACCUUGCAAACUUCCAUAAGGUCACAGAGCUAGCCAGGAUUUGAACCCAGGCAAUUCGGUUCCAAAGCCCAGGCUCUGGACCCUUAUACAAAGUGGGGAGAGGCAGCCAAGAGCAAAGUGUUUUCAGGUGUUUUUAGAGGCGGUGCUGAUGAAUGGACAUGCAGCCAAGUGCUUGAGAGCAGCUUACUUUCCUAGAUGGAUUCAACAGUCACCUUUGCACCCUGAUUCUGUUUAGCAAUGCUUCCUUCAUAAAUCGUGCAGAGAUGAACUUUAACCCACAGCCUAGUCUAGCCUGAAUUGUAAAGACAAAAUGUUUUAUUAAGAUCCAGAGUUCACUUCAGUGAAAUCUGGUUAUAUAACAAGUGGGGGUGGUAGCUGGUUGCAGUGGUAUGCAGCCAGAAGUGGAUGGAAAUUCUCUGUGAUGAUAUUCGUAGAAGCAAAGAACUAACAUGUAUUUGUAUGUAUAUAUGCCAAGCACAUACCACACGAAAUCCUAUAUACUAUCUCUUUUAAUUCAGUUUGGUUCAACAAAUAAUGGAAUGCAUAUUACCCAAUAGAAAUGUAUUGAGUGCCCCAGGCACAAUGCUGGGCACUUGAAGCGAAAGCUAGGUAAACACAACCCUGCUCACCUUCUAAUAGCGGGGAUAAGUAGUCAGAGAGAGAAGAGGUACCAGGUGUGGUUGGUGGAGCACAGGGGAUGCAGAAGCUCUCACCUGAAUGAAGGGGUAAAGGGCAACCCAGCAGAGGGAAGGAAAUUGGUGGUAAACAGCAUGGUGUAU